CACGUAGGGCGCGAGCGUUGUCCGGAAUUAUUGGGCGUAAAGAGCUCGUAGGCGGCCUGUUGCGUCCGCUGUGAAAGCCCGGGGCUUAACCCCGGGUCUGCAGUGGAUACGGUCAGGCUAGAGGUAGGUAGGGGAGAAUGGAAUUCCCGGUGUAGCGGUGAAAUGCGCAGAUAUCGGGAGGAACACCGGUGGCGAAGGCGGUUCUCUGGGCCUUACCUGACGCUGAGGUGCGAAAGCGUGGGGAGCAAACAGG
This 253-nucleotide ribosomal RNA is filed under the name uncultured bacterium. RNAcentral describes it as "partial 16S ribosomal RNA". It matches the Rfam family "Bacterial small subunit ribosomal RNA", at positions 524 to 776 of the family's 1533-position model. The record is from RNAcentral.